CUAGUGGUUAGAGCGUUGGACUAGUAACCAGCAGGUAGCCUAGUGGUUAGAGUGUUGGCCUAGUAACCAGCAGGUAGCCUAGUGGUUAGAGCGUUGGACUAGUAACCAGCAGGUAGCCUAGUGGUUAGAGCGUUGGCCUAGUAACCAGCAGGUAGCCUAGUGGUUAGAGCGUUGGCCUAGUAACCAGCAGGUAGCCUAGUGGUUAGAGUGUUGGACUAGUAACCAGCAGGUAGCCUAGUGGUUAGAGCGUUGGACUAGUAACCAGCAGGUAGCCUAGUGGUUAGAGCGUUGGACUAGUAACCAGCAGGUAGCCUAGUGGUUAGAGUGUUGGACUAGUAACCAGCAGGUAGCCUAGUGGUUAGAGCGUUGGACUAGUAACCAGCAGGUAGCCUAGUGGUUAGAGCGUUGGACUAGUAACCAGCAGGUAGCCUAGUGGUUAGAGUGUUGGACCAGUAACCAGCAGGUAGCCUAGUGGUUAGAGUGUUGGACUAGUAACCAGCAGGUAGCCUAGUGGUUAGAGCGUUGGACUAGUAACCAGCAGGUAGCCUAGUGGUUAGAGUGUUGGACUAGUAACCAGCAGGUAGCCUAGUGGUUAGAGCGUUGGACUAGUAACCAGCAGGUAGCCUAGUGGUUAGAGCGUUGGACUAGUAACCAGCAGGUAGCCUAGUGGUUAGAGCGUUGGACUAGUAACCAGCAGGUAGCCUAGUGGUUAGAGUGUUGGACUAGUAACCAGCAGGUAGCCUAGUGGUUAGAGCGUUGGACUAGUAACCAGCAGGUAGCCUAGUGGUUAGAGCGUUGGACUAGUAACCAGCAGGUAGCCUAGUGGUUAGAGUGUUGGACUAGUAACCAGCAGGUAGCCUAGUGGUUAGAGCGUUGGACUAGUAACCAGCAGGUAGCCUAGUGGUUAGAGCGUUGGACUAGUAACCAGCAGGUAGCCUAGUGGUUAGAGCGUUGGACUAGUAACCAGCAGGUAGCCUAGUGGUUAGAGUGUUGGACUAGUAACCAGCAGGUAGCCUAGUGGUUAGAGCGUUGGACUAGUAACCAGCAGGUAGCCUAGUGGUUAGAGCGUUGGACUAGUAACCAGCAGGUAGCCUAGUGGUUAGAGUGUUGGACUAGUAACCAGCAGGUAGCCUAGUGGUUAGAGCGUUGGACUAGUAACCAGCAGGUAGCCUAGUGGUUAGAGUGUUGGACUAGUAACCAGCAGGUAGCCUAGUGGUUAGAGCGUUGGACUAGUAACCAGCAGGUAGCCUAGUGGUUAGAGCGUUGGACUAGUAACCAGCAGGUAGCCUAGUGGUUAGAGUGUUGGACUAGUAACCAGCAGGUAGCCUAGUGGUUAGAGCGUUGGACUAGUAACCAGCAGGUAGCCUAGUGGUUAGAGCGUUGGACUAGUAACCAGCAGGUAGCCUAGUGGUUAGAGUGUUGGACUAGUAACCAGCAGGUAGCCUAGUGGUUAGAGCGUUGGACUAGUAACCAGCAGGUAGCCUAGUGGUUAGAGCGUUGGACUAGUAACCAGCAGGUAGCCUAGUGGUUAGAGUGUUGGACUAGUAACCAGCAGGUAGCCUAGUGGUUAGAGUGUUGGACUAGUAACCAGCAGGUAGCCUAGUGGUUAGAGCAUUGGACUAGUAACCAGCAGGUAGCCUAGUGGUUAGAGUGUUGGACUAGUAACCAGCAGGUAGCCUAGUGGUUAGAGCGUUGGACUAGUAACCAGCAGGUAGCCUAGUGGUUAGAGCGUUGGACUAGUAACCAGCAGGUAGCCUAGUGGUUAGAGUGUUGGACUAGUAACCAGCAGGUAGCCUAGUGGUUAGAGCGUUGGACUAGUAACCAGCAGGUAGCAUAGUGGUUAGAGCGUUGGACUAGUAACCAGCAGGUAGCA
Long non-coding RNA from Oncorhynchus keta (chum salmon), 1873 nucleotides. RefSeq lists it as uncharacterized. Lineage: Eukaryota; Metazoa; Chordata; Actinopteri; Salmoniformes; Salmonidae. The record is from RefSeq and is a predicted model, not a curated record. The transcript has 3 exons.